UGUCCGUUCUUUCCUACAUGGAAAAACCCCAUACACCACAGAGCACUACUGAUAGGACUUCUAAGAAGAUUAAACCUUUGGAAAUAAGUGAAGUAAGGAUCAUGCCAACCACUACUGCAGCUACCUGUUCAAAUCCUCUGCCAGAAUUUGAACCACCCACACCAACCAAAAAGGUGUAAAAGGAACUCAGACCUCCCAUUUUGUCACUUUUGCUUAUAAUAGGGACAACAUAAUGGCUAUGCUCUGGUUUUUUGCAUGAGGCACAUUACCUAUGGAGAAGCAAACUGCAUCGUCCUCAAAAUAUGUCAUAAACAAUGACAUGCUAAUCUUAUAUAGCAAAACUGCAACAUGUACUAUAUGUUAUAUUUUGCGUGUAUUACAUUAGUUAGUAUGUGCAGAUCGUUCAAAUCUAUGCCAUACUAAUGUCUAUCGUACAUAUUAAUAUAUAAUAUAUAAUAUUA
Long non-coding RNA from Solanum tuberosum (potato), 461 nucleotides. RefSeq lists it as uncharacterized. The transcript is spliced from 2 exons. The record is from RefSeq and is a predicted model, not a curated record. Lineage: Eukaryota; Viridiplantae; Streptophyta; Magnoliopsida; Solanales; Solanaceae.